AGCUUGCUCCUCGAUUCAGCGGCGGACGGGUGAGUAAUGCCUAGGAAUCUGCCUAGUAGUGGGGGACAACGUUUCGAAAGGAACGCUAAUACCGCAUACGUCCUACGGGAGAAAGUGGGGGAUCUUCGGACCUCACGCUAUUAGAUGAGCCUAGGUCGGAUUAGCUAGUUGGUAGGGUAAAGGCCUACCAAGGCGACGAUCCGUAACUGGUCUGAGAGGAUGAUCAGUCACACUGGAACUGAGACACGGUCCAGACUCCUACGGGAGGCAGCAGUGGGGAAUAUUGGACAAUGGGCGAAAGCCUGAUCCAGCCAUGCCGCGUGUGUGAAGAAGGCCUUCGGGUCGUAAAGCACUUUAAGUUGGGAGGAAGGGCUUACAGCGAAUACCUGUGAGUUUUGACGUUACCGACAGAAUAAGCACCGGCUAACUUCGUGCCAGCAGCCGCGGUAAUACGAAGGGUGCAAGCGUUAAUCGGAAUUACUGGGCGUAAAGCGCGCGUAGGUGGCUUGAUAAGUUGGAUGUGAAAU
Molecule: ribosomal RNA, 527 nt
Filed under: Pseudomonas sp.
Lineage: Bacteria; Pseudomonadati; Pseudomonadota; Gammaproteobacteria; Pseudomonadales; Pseudomonadaceae
Description: bacterial SSU rRNA
Rfam family: Bacterial small subunit ribosomal RNA
Source: RNAcentral